GGUCCCGUAGCUCGCUUGGUCUUAUGAGCUGAAUGUCACGGGUUCGAGCCCCGCCGGGACCA
Brassica napus (rape) is the source of this 62-nucleotide non-coding RNA. NCBI's taxonomy places the organism in Eukaryota, Viridiplantae, Streptophyta, Magnoliopsida, Brassicales, Brassicaceae. The record is from Rfam.